AUCAAUGAUUUAAUUGUUUUUGUUCAAUCAAGAUAAAAAUGAUCAUAAAUCAUAUGAAUAUGACGUCUCAUUAAUAAAUAUUCAUAUUAUAUAUAUAUAUAUAUAUUAAUAUCAUUAAAAUUAAAUUAUAUACUAUAAAAUAUGUUAAAUUAAAUUUUCAUUGAAAAGUUAUUGAGAUAUUACUAUUUUAAUUUUGAAAUUCGUAUUAAAAGUUUUCACAUUAAAACUUUCGUGAUUAACAUAUUAAUUUUUUGUUACAACAAAUACAAAAAUGUUAAUAAAAUUAUAUGAGUAGGAAGUGUCAAUAAUAAAUAUUUAUAUAAAAAUAUACUAUAUAUAUGUCAAUAUAACUAAAGUUUAAUUAUAUACCAUAUAAUUUAAAUAAAAUGAUUGUUUUGACUUAUUUACCAAAAACAUGAUUGUAAAAAAACAAAAGGUAUUGGUUUUGAUUUAUGUGCUUACUAUAAUGUAUAUACUGUUAUGUAUACAAAUUAUUUUUUAAAUAGGUGGUUUCUAAUAUGUUUUUGAUCCUGACAAUCCAAGAAAUACACUUCUUCAAAUCGAAGUGAUUUUUCGAAGUAUUUUUUUGGAACUAUAUAUAUAUAUUUCAUUCAGACAAAAUUAUUUUGUCUUGAUUUUUGUUCCUAAAAAGCUUUUAAUAAAUUAUCAUGACAAGAUUUCAAUCACCUCCUUUUGAGUUUGUUUGAAGAAUGAGAUAUUUGAUCAUUUGUCUAAUAUAUAUUUCUUCCUAAUAUCCUAUCUAGCUAUUAUAAUUUUAAGAAUGAUAGAUUUGAAAAAUUUAUUAUAAAUUAAUGGUUUAUCAUUUAAUAAAUUAAACAAUUCUUAGGUAUACACAUAUUUUACAUAUAAUAGAAUAGUAAAGUAUUAUAUAUUUUUAUCGGUAUACUCUUAAGUAACUAAAAAUCAAAAGCGUAGAUUAAUAAAAUAAGUAAUUUUUUUUGUUGUUCCAGAAUUAAAUGAUUUUUUUAUAUUCCGAAUCUGCACUUAUAUUAUAUAACAGCUUGAUAUAAUUGAUUUGAACACUAACCUGUGAAUAGAGUUUACCGGUGAUUUUUUUCAAAAAUUUGAUUCUUAGAUAUGUAUCUGGAGUGGAAGUAAUUUUUACAAAUGUCUAUCAUUUUAAAUUGACACUUAUGUAAUUCACCGAAUUCACAAAAGAAGUAAAAAAAAUAAAAAAUUCAUAUCAGUAAAACAGAAACGAGAACGAAAGCACAAUUUUAAAGUGGUAAAAAAUGAAAUCUCUUAUAGAGAGUCAAUAAUAAAGAAAUCGAGAGCAUAAAACCUAAUCUUCUUUCGUCAUCUUACAAUCGAUGUUGUUUAUCUGCUUUUAGUGAUUUGUGUCAGGCGCAAAAAUUAAUUUUCUUUUGUGCAUAUGAAGUCUUAAAAAUAAUUAAACUGAGCUUCAAUUCGUUUAACUCUUCAACAAUGAUGAUACAUUUAAGAUACCAAAAAUUAUAUUCGUCAUUUUACAAUCAAUAAAGGUUGUAGUGUUGCAAAAUGUUAAAACUAUUUAAUGAACAAACAUUAAUAUAAAAAAUUACUCUGCGCAUGCGCGGGUUAUCAUCUAGUUCUUUAUUUGAUUUAAUGCGGAACAAAUUUAUACUAUAUAUCUCUGUAAUAAAAGGAAUGAGAAGAAAUAGAAAAGAAAAAAAUAUUCUUUAUGAAUGGUAAAAUUUGUUAGGAAUAUUAAGGAAUUGAUAUUACGUGUAUACACACACUACCACAAUCGAAUGGUAUGUCAAUCUAGCACUUUAGGAUCAAAUCGACAGAGACCAAUGGUUACACUUUAUCUUUAUGGGAUCAAUAUAAAGCUAAAACAAUAAGGAGGUUUCAAGACUAAGGUAUCAAAACAAGCAAGCAACAGAUUGGUUUAAAGUUUUCAAAUGAUUAAGAAUUUUAGCCUAGGGUGGGUUGAUCGGGUGUUAAACAAGCGUGAACCAAACAAUUAUUUAAGUUCAAUUUAGCACUAGCCUAGAACUCGGAUCACUUAAGAUAGAUCAGCCCACUGUCGUGGUGCUUCACCUUUUGUCAAUCGAUAUCAGUACGUAAACUGUUUUUUGGACUGAGACGCGAUGACAAACAGUAAGAUCAAGUCCGAUAUGUUCACAAAACACCCUAACAUCUACUUUCACUAGUUAGGGAUGCAAUGCUCAUUCGUUCAAUGUCUAUCAACCUAUAACAAUUUUGAUGAAUAGAUUAAAACUGUGAAAAGAUGCUAAAUGACCAGUUUAACACAAGCAGUAAGUGUUGCAAUAAAUGAAAACAAUCAAUUUAUAACUUAUUCAUGUUUAGCCCACAGAUCAAACACCCUAGACUAAGCAAGUUGACUACUCAGCCAUGAAGCAAGAAAACACAUAGAUUGAAACUGAAUAAUACAUCACUGCAAUUAUAAAAGAAAUAGAGUAGGGUUCAGGGGGUUCUUCGCUAAGGCGAGAGAAAUAUCUUUCUCCUAUCACAAAGUAUGAACUCGCAAAUGGAACUCUAGGGUCUGGUUUCUUCUUCAAAAACUAGCGUCAAAAUAAAUUGAAAGAGAAAAAAAAAGAUAUAUGGAAACCACAUGCGGCUAGGAGAAAAAUAUGGGAUGAUUAGGGCAAAUCCCAAAAUAACUUGUAGUUUUCUUAAAAAUCUAUGUCGCUGGAACAGUCACUCGGGUGCUCCGCUCGAUCGGGAACAGCCAUCAGACUCUUAUGCGUGAAAAUCACCAAAUUGCAAUCUUUUAUUCUAACUGGUCCAUCUUCCAUCCAAAGCAACUCCAGACCUGAAGUGACUCGAAAAAGACUAGGAAAACUCGAUAAAGACUUGAGAACCAAUCAGAAAACAUAUAUACAAGAUGUCAAAAACACCAUAUAUCAGGAAAAAUUGUUCAUUUUCAUUCAUUAGUCACCAUUCAUAGCCUUAACUAUUUUAGAGCAUCAACAUUGGCCGAGCCUCUCACAGUAAUGAAAAUAUUAAUAUUUAGUUAUGCAACUAUUUUUCAUUUUUCCUUUAAAUAAUUAAACUAAUAGAAAAAUGACAUGUGUAGAGUUUGUUUCUCAAACAUGCAUAAAAGUAUCUCAAUAAAAAGACUCUCUAUCAUCUCUCUCUUACUUGUAAACUAAUUUUCUUUAGUUUAAUUGUUUGAAAUCAUGGGAGAGACUCCCACUAAUGGUUCUCUUAGACUAUAUAAAAUGGUUUUUGUGGGAACCGAAAUUCGCACCGUCGAUUUCCGUAAUCGGAGGAAAGUCAAGAAACCCUAACUUUCUCUGAGGUCCCGGAUUCUCUGCAGGAGCCAACGACAAGUGACCAAAUGAAUGCAGAAAAUAUGAAAAGAUAGCAAAACGAAUUUAUAGAAAAGGUAGAUCUAAUUUCAAAUCUGCGUAAAAGCGUUGGGAUCAUUACAAUAGAUUAUAAAAGCUUCGGCCGCAAUAGCUGUCAGCGAAUUACCUAGUUCUAGCAACCUGAAACUUUAAACCUAGUUGAGUCACAGCUCGAUAACAGAAGACGAAAAAUAUACGAAAAAGGUUUUGAUUGAUUUCGGACUGAACCUUAUGAAAGGCUGCCUACGUACCCCUUUCGAGGAUCAAACCGAAGAUAGUUUGAUUGAAAGAGUAGAACAAGAGAUCGACUCGCCUUAGCUAGUUCGUCUAGUAAUCGAGUGCUAGUCAUAGAAACAAAACAUGUCGAGAAUAAUACCUAACGUUUCUAAGUGCAGAGAGUUCUAAGAGUAAAAAGAAUUGUGUAUUUGCCUCUUCAACCUCGACGUCCUUAUAUACUCCUCCUAGAGGCGCUUUGCUCUUUCCCUUUCUGCCAUUGGUCGAGUUUAUCGCUUCGCAGAAAUAUUCCAUUUUCCUUCGAUCUUCAUGUUUAUCUUUGGGAACUUCACAUUUAUCCUCCGAACUGGACAUUUAUCUUCUCCUGCAGAAUAAAAGAUAAACCGUCAUAACCAUUGGGCUUGAGUGGGCCUUUAGCCGCGUUAUGGACCCUUUCGGGCCAUUUUCCGACUUAAGCAUUUUUACGAUUUAUCGAAAGAGCGCUUCCGAAACGACGUCGAUUCCGAAGAAAGUUCGAAUUUCUCGUAUAGUGGAGGCAGUUCAAGGUGUUUAGUUAACCAUUUCCAUUUUAUACGAUCAAUUCAGAUUACAUACGAGACAACGAGUUCUUGCGGUUUUUAAAUCGUAAAGUUCCAAUUGUGAUUACGACUGAGAUGAAACAAAAGCAAGUUUGAUUCGAUCUCGAAGGAGAGAGCUACGAGGACGGGAUGAAGAUAGAUUAGUUGAUCCAAAUCGCCGAACGGGCGAGUUAGACUGCUUGCUCGGUCCAACUCGCCUGUGCGGCAAGAUUUCUCGUAUAAUUUUGAUUUUUAUAUGAAACAAGCUUUAUAAAUCCGGAAAUGGUUUCAAGACUUUGGCUAAUCGCCGAGUUUCAGUUUGAUAUUUGUACAUGUUUUCUAUACGCAUGAUUGCGACAAGAAAUGUUGUAUAGUCUUUGAGAUUAUGUUCAUGAUCAUCUGGAUAUCUUGCUAGCGUUUAGAUUAUCGUUAGACUUCUAGAUUGUCGUUUGCCUUUUUGGGACGAUUUUAGUUUUUUGAAGUUUGGGAGUAUACGAGUAUAGUAUACGUAUCUACUUCCCUUUUUUUACGAAAAAACUGGUUGAACCGAUACUUUGAAUGGUUAUGUACGUUUCUUAUUGAUACUUUGAAGGGUUAUGUACGUUUCUUAUUCUGAGGAUUGGAAUGAUCGACAAUACGGGUCGAUUUAAAGAUGAUUUUGGGACUGUGAUUUGGUUGUUUUCAGGCUGACGACUUGGAAUGUGUCGGUUUUAAGAAAAUUGCUAGAAAUAAAUCGGUUUUAAUGUAGAUCAUCUCUUUUGGCGAGUAAUCCCACAGAUGGAGGAUUGGAAUGAUCGACAAUACGGGUCGAUUUAAAGAUGAUUUUGGGACUGUGAUUUGGUUGUUUUCAGGCUGACGACUUGGAAUGUGUCGGUUUUAAGAAAAUUGCUAGAAAUAAAUCGGUUUUAAUGUAGAUCAUCUCUUUUGGCGAGUAAUCCCACAGAUGGAGGAUCUUCAAUUUGCGUGGAUACUAUGGUAUAUUCGGAAAGGAAGGAAUGAUUAAGUUUUUAGUAAUUUGGAUAUGGAUCCUCGAGAUACGCUCAAAUUGGCAGAAACAAAAUCAACACUCUGGGCUGAGGCACAAAUACCAAAGGAAAACAAGAGAGUAUUACCAGUCGAGCUUACAACCCUUCCUUCGAUCCCAAGAAGAUGGUGUUUCACAGAUGGCUCUUGGAAGGAGAAUGAUAUCUUCUCAGGACAAGGUUGGCUAAGCACCUUAGAAGAUUUUUUUGUUGGGCUGUUGGGGGCGACGAAUGUUCGGGCUUGUCUAACUCCUCUGCAUGCGGAGAUAGAAGAUUUUUUAUAUUGGCAAUGGAAUGUAUGAAAAAUUUACGUCAAUUUCAGGUUACGUUUCAAUGAAUUGUUCUCAAUUGGUGAAGAUGGUUUCGGAACCAGAAGAAUGACUAGCUUUUGCAAAUUAUUUGGAAGAUAUCAAGACCCUGAGAGAAAGUUUCAUUAGAUCAGAGAUUAUCUAUGUACCAAGGAAGCAAAAUUCAAAGGCGGAUAGUCUAGCACGCAGUGUUAGAAAACAACUGUCUUUCGUCGUUCACAUGGAUCAGGAUCUCCCGGAGUGGUUCACAGAGUCAAUAUGAGUCUGUAUUUGCUGACAAAAAAAAAUGAAACAAGAUUCUGUCCCGCCCUUGGAAAGGGCGGGAUUAAUUGUGAUUGCAAAAAUAUACUUAAUAAAAAUUAGAAUUUUAUGUACUUUUGUAUUUAUAUAUAAUUUAUUUUUUUAUUUAGUUAUAUAAUUUAUUUUAAUUAUUAUUGGAUAUAACCCAUAAAACUAUUUGAGAUAUAAUCCAAAAUUAUAAAAAUAUUAGAGACAUUUGGAAUAUUUAUUGUGUUUCACCCAAAUAUUCAAACCAAAGUAGUUUUUGUUAAAUUUAGAUAUUUGGUAUUAAUUUUUUUGAUGUCAUUUGUUAUUUUUAAAUAUUAAAGAUGAGGGCACCAUGGCUAUUCAUCGACUUUUCACUGCUGCCGUUUCUGUUCAAACUCAAUCCGACGAUGAUUUCAAGGUUUUCGAAACGAUCAAAACUAACUUAAUCUCCAAAUAAGGGAGAGAUAUCGUAAAUCCGAUUGUAUUAGAUCCUAAUUUAAAGGCAAACCAGAAAGUGUAGUUUAGUACUUUGGAACAACCAUGAAGGAAGAGAACCAAGAACAAAUAAAAAACCAGAGAUAUAUAUGAUCUCAUUCAGAAAACAGAAGUCAGAUUGGAUUAAUUCGACAGACUAAGCACAUCUAAAAUCAGUGAAUAGAAUGAAAUCCCUAAAAGUCAAUUAAAAAGAUGAAAUCGCUAAAAGUCAUUUAAAAAAGAUGAAAUCGCUUAACAUGACAUGAUUCGGAUGAGAAGCAACACAACAAAUAUUGAAAUCUAAUGUUAAAAAUGGAAGUUCUUUCUCAAAGAAUUGAUGUGAGAGAAGAGAAAGAAGUUAUGUAAGUGGUUUAUAAUUGUAUACAAAAAUUAAGAUAUGAUUGUCCAAAACCAAAAGACUAUAAUGCCUUUAAUGAAGGGCAAAAAAUCCUUUGAAAACACGAUGGCAAAAUAAGUAAUAUUCCAGGUAAGAGUAGAGACAAUUGUUAGCAAUGAUCAUGUUUUAAUUAUAUUGAUUAUAGUAGAAAAAAUGAGUUUUUUUCUGUGUCCAAAUCAAAUGAAACAAGUCUCUAUUUAUAGAAUAUGAAAAAUAAUUAAUUUUGAUAUAAAAACAAUUUUUCUAAAAUAAAAUUUUAAGCGAUAAUUGAUCUCAAAUAA
Brassica rapa (field mustard) is the source of this 6857-nucleotide long non-coding RNA. RefSeq lists it as uncharacterized. Lineage: Eukaryota; Viridiplantae; Streptophyta; Magnoliopsida; Brassicales; Brassicaceae. The record is from RefSeq and is a predicted model, not a curated record.